Rhizobium etli CNPAF512 is the source of this 72-nucleotide non-coding RNA. The record is from Rfam. NCBI's taxonomy places the organism in Bacteria, Pseudomonadati, Pseudomonadota, Alphaproteobacteria, Hyphomicrobiales, Rhizobiaceae.
GCUGCCGUAGCUCAGUGGUAGAGCACACCCUUGGUAAGGGUGAGGUCGGUGGUUCAAUCCCACUCGGCAGCA